UUUCAGCUUUCUUAUUUAGAAGCAACUAUACCUCCUUGGGCAGAAGAAGUUACUUGUGCCUUAGUUCAAUCUCCUGAUAUUGAUGUAACGAUAGAUUCUAAUAUAUUAAUAAAGAAUUAUUUUCAAACACCAAGAUAUGUUGUUGUAGGAGAUAUUAUAGCAAUAAGUUCACAAGCUGAUGUUACAUUCAAUGAAAAAUUUAAAGCUUCCUCAUAUGUGAGGUAAUUAUUAUGUUUUUAUAACAUUACUAAUAUUACAUUAAUAAAACCUUAUUUAUUAUCAAAUUACAUUAACAUUCUUAAGAUAACAAAUCUUAUCUUAAGAACAGCAAUUGAUAUGCACUUAUUUUUCCAUUAACCCCUUACACAGGCUUUUCUUGAAAGAAACAUGCAAUAA
Molecule: long non-coding RNA, 396 nt
Organism: Centruroides sculpturatus (bark scorpion)
Lineage: Eukaryota; Metazoa; Arthropoda; Arachnida; Scorpiones; Buthidae
Exons: 3
Source: RefSeq, a predicted model, not a curated record